CUCGAACUCCUGACCUCAGGUGAUCCACCCACCUCGGCCUCCCAAAGUUGUGGGAUUGCAGGCGUGAGCCACUGCGCCUGGCCUAAUUUUUCAAUUUUUUGGUGGAGAUAGGGUUUCACCAUGUUGGCCAGGCUGGAGUUUUGCCUGUUCUAGAACCUUGUAUCAGUCAUACAACACCCCUUUGAGGAACCGUUUGAGGUGUGGCAUGAUACAGCAAGUCAGCUGCCAAAGAGGGGCUUAGCCACAGGAAGUGCGUGCCCAGAACGCAUCUCCCGUGUCCCUCACAGCAGUUCUAUGAGGCUGGCUGCCCUGUUUGACAACUGAGGCCCGCAUCUUCCCCGGGAUUACCGACGUGUGGCUCUGAGCCCUGUCCCAAGGGAUUUUCUCCAUCAGAGAAGAGGAGCACUUUGAGCUUUCAGAGGAGCAGCCCUCUGCAAGUGAAGUGGAAAAAAAGGAAGCAGGUGAGGAGGCCCAUCCAGACCCUCCCCCAAGACCCUUGCUGAAAUGGCUGGGAUGCGGCGUGCAAGAGCUCUCCUUUCCUUCACAGCCCCUGGCUUUCCAAGAGUCCCUGCCCACCCAGAUGCCCGCUGGCGGAUGCAGCCUCAUCUCAAGGACACUGCUUGCUGGAUAAAUCCCUCACCACCCUAGAGACAGCCCACGGUCCUGAGACAAGGAUGCGGGCCAGGCUUGAUGCAGGUAAGCGCCUCCCGCAGAAACCAGUGAGGCCGGAGUUCCAGAGGAAAUGAUGUAGGGA
Molecule: long non-coding RNA, 754 nt
Filed under: Pan troglodytes (chimpanzee)
Lineage: Eukaryota; Metazoa; Chordata; Mammalia; Primates; Hominidae
Description: lincRNA
Source: RNAcentral